GAUGAACGCUGGCGGCGUGCCUAAUACAUGCAAGUCGAGCGAACGGACGAGAAGCUUGCUUCUCUGAUGUUAGCGGCGGACGGGUGAGUAACACGUGGAUAACCUACCUAUAAGACUGGGAUAACUUCGGGAAACCGUAGCUAAUACCGGAUAAUAUUUUGAACCGCAUGGUUCAAAAGUGAAAGACGGUCUUGCUGUCACUUAUAGAUGGAUCCGCGCUGCAUUAGCUAGUUGGUAAGGUAACGGCUUACCAAGGCAACGAUGCAUAGCCGACCUGCGAGGGUGAUCGGCCACACUGGAACUGAGACACGGUCCAGACUCCUACGGGAGGCAGCAGUAGGGAAUCUUCCGCAAUGGGCGAAAGCCUGACGGAGCAACGCCGCGUGAGUGAUGAAGGUCUUCGGAUCGUAAAACUCUGUUAUUAGGGAAGAACAUAUGUGUAAGUAACUGUGCACAUCUUGACGGUACCUAAUUAGAAAGCCACGGCUAACUACGUG
This 497-nucleotide ribosomal RNA is filed under the name uncultured bacterium. RNAcentral describes it as "partial 16S ribosomal RNA". It matches the Rfam family "Bacterial small subunit ribosomal RNA", at positions 28 to 507 of the family's 1533-position model. The record is from RNAcentral.